GGGCAGGCAGGGACAGCCCCUCUGAUGAGGAGGCCACUGGGCUGAGACCAAUGAAUGAGAUGGAGCCAGCCACGUGGUGAGCCAGAAGAGGGCAUCACAGGGCUUGAGUCUGGGGGAGCCUGGCUGCCCAGAGGUGGCAGAUGACAUGAAGAAAUAACCAUGUAAGGGCUGGCUGUGUAUGAGCCCUGACUUCCCACAGCUAUCCCCAAACACACUCGUUUACACUGAAGCACCAGGAGAUCAGAACCUUCUGGAAUCUUAAUAUGCGAGGACUCGGUGGAGAAGGCGGCACUGAAGAAGAGUCGUCCCUAGGCCAGGCUGGAGGGAAACUCAAGACGGCGGCCUGGCCCUCCUGGGUGGCGGAAGUGGGAGCAGCAGGAGCCCUGGCGGAUCCGGGAGGCCAGAAGAGCGGAAGCUUCCUCCCCUCUCAGGAAGCUGAGACCCCAGAGGCUGAAAUUUCACUCAGACCCAGGAGAGCCAGAGUCCGGAGAAUCCCCCUGGUCUCCGCCCCUCAAUCCCAAAGACAGCCACAAGGACUUUCGGGGGUCGUGGCAGCUGCUCCACUUCCAACUUCCAGAUCCCUCUCACUUUCCUCUUCCCACCAACUCCAACCUGGGACCAAGCAGGGGAAAGCAGCUGCAGCCCAGCUUGACGCCCCUGCAAAUGGAGACCUGUGCACCUGGUUGUGAGCAUUUUAAAGGGUGUCACACAGGGCAUACCCUUCGGUGCCUGGAUUCCUUUGGUUUACAUCCAGCAGGAGUUGGCCCUGAGCUCUGAGUCCAGAUCAUUGCUCUUGGCUGAAGCAGCCUGUCUACUCACAAAGAUGAGCAUGGUCCCUGCCACGAGGAAACUCGUGGUCCUGUGGACUGCGGUGUGGAGGGAAAGCUUGGGAUUCUGAGCCUGAUAAUGCACCAUUACAUCCCCACUCACUCGGGCUGUGUGAACCCAGCAAGUCACAGGAUCACUGGGUGGUGAAAGAAAGAAACACUCACAGAAGCGUCUGUGCUUGGAGAGCCAUCUGGUCCGUCAUUGUGACUGCUGCUCUCAUUGCUAUCAUGGGUGUCACCAUUGCCAUCACUCAAGGACUUCUCUCCAGGCCCCGAAGCCAAGCUGGUGCCUGGUUCCUCUGGGUUGGGAGAGGGGCUGGGCAUGGACAGGAGGAGGGAAAAGGGACCUGUGCUAGCAGGUGAUGCCAUCCAAGACAUCUGCAUCCUAAUCCCUGGAACCUGGGAUUCCACUAGGUGCCAUGGCAAAGAGGGAUUAAGGUGGCAGGUGGAGUGAAGGUUGCUAAUCAGCCGACCUUAAAGUAGGGAGAUGAUCCUGAAUGAGACAAAAGAGAGAACCAGUCAUGGUGUCAUGAGAAGGACUCAAAAUGCAACUGCUGACUUUGAAGAUUAAGGGGCUACAAACCAAGGAACGUGGUAGUCUCUGGAAAAGACAAGGAAUAGACGCUGCGUUGGGGCCACCAGAAGGAACCAGCCCUGUCAACACCCUAAUUUUAGCCCAGUGAGGCCUGUGCUGGACUUCUGACCUCCAGAACUGUAAACUAAUAAAUGUGUGUUGUUUCUGCCACUA
Homo sapiens (human) is the source of this 1575-nucleotide long non-coding RNA. Ensembl annotates it as long intergenic non-protein coding RNA 917. The record is from Ensembl. Lineage: Eukaryota; Metazoa; Chordata; Mammalia; Primates; Hominidae.